GGCGAAUAUAGCGCAGUUGGCUAGCGCGUCAGAUUGUGGCUCUGAAGGUCACGGGUUCGAAUCCCGUUAUUCGCC
RNAcentral lists this transfer RNA (75 nucleotides) under Andalucia godoyi. RNAcentral describes it as "tRNA-His". It matches the Rfam family "tRNA". Rfam says of the family: Transfer RNA (tRNA) molecules are approximately 80 nucleotides in length. Their secondary structure includes four short double-helical elements and three loops (D, anti-codon, and T loops). Further hydrogen bonds mediate the characteristic L-shaped molecular structure. tRNAs have two regions of fundamental functional importance: the anti-codon, which is responsible for specific mRNA codon recognition, and the 3' end, to which the tRNAs corresponding amino acid is attached (by aminoacyl-tRNA synthetases). tRNAs cope with the degeneracy of the genetic code in two manners: having more than one tRNA (with a specific anti-codon) for a particular amino acid; and 'wobble' base-pairing, i.e. permitting non-standard base-pairing at the 3rd anti-codon position. The record is from RNAcentral. Lineage: Eukaryota; Jakobea; Jakobida; Andaluciidae.